RNAcentral lists this ribosomal RNA (253 nucleotides) under uncultured bacterium. RNAcentral describes it as "partial 16S ribosomal RNA". It matches the Rfam family "Bacterial small subunit ribosomal RNA", at positions 524 to 776 of the family's 1533-position model. The record is from RNAcentral.
UACGUAGGGUGCGAGCGUUGUCCGGAAUUAUUGGGCGUAAAGAGCUUGUAGGCGGUUUGUCGCGUCUGCUGUGAAAUUCCGGGGCUCAACUCCGGACUUGCAGUGGGUACGGGCAGGCUAGAGUGUGGUAGGGGAGACUGGAAUUCCUGGUGUAGCGGUGAAAUGCGCAGAUAUCAGGAGGAACACCGAUGGCGAAGGCAGGUCUCUGGGCCAUUACUGACGCUGAGAAGCGAAAGCAUGGGGAGCGAACAGG